GACGAACCGUACGAGCGAUAUUCGGAAUCAUUGGGCUUAAAGGGUGCGUAGGCGGUGCAGAAAGUUGGGUGUGAAAUCCCUCGGCUCAACCGAGGAAUUGCGCCCAAUACUACUGUGCUAGAGGGAGACAGAGGUAAGCGGAACUUAGGGUGGAGCGGUGAAAUGCGUUGAUAUCCUAAGGAACACCAGUGGCGAAAGCGGCUUACUGGGUCUCUUCUGACGCUGAGGCACGAAAGCUAGGGGAGCAAACGGG
RNAcentral lists this ribosomal RNA (253 nucleotides) under uncultured bacterium. RNAcentral's name for it is "partial 16S ribosomal RNA". It matches the Rfam family "Bacterial small subunit ribosomal RNA", at positions 524 to 776 of the family's 1533-position model. The record is from RNAcentral.